Molecule: long non-coding RNA, 1272 nt
Filed under: Cucumis sativus (cucumber)
Lineage: Eukaryota; Viridiplantae; Streptophyta; Magnoliopsida; Cucurbitales; Cucurbitaceae
Description: long non-coding RNA (CSAT_LNC000905)
Source: RNAcentral
UAUUUGUUGAUCUGCUUAUUAGCUUGAUGUAGUGUCUACUUUCAUUUUUCUAUUUCUCUUUUUCUGCUUUUCACUCUUUUUGAGUAUAGGUUGUCAAAAGUCUUGUAUCUACAUUAAAUAUAAAUUUAUUACAAGCGAAGGUGAACAAAUGUUCUAGGAUUAAAACGAACCAAGUAUUACGAAACUUAAAAACUUCUAUUGUUCCAAAUCUAAAGUGAAAAUUAUGUUCAUAUCUAGUUGAGCAUUGAAAGUGAACAAUAACAAUACAACAACAAUGGAUUCCAAAUAAUAUCGAUGAAACAAAAUGAGAAAGAAGUAUACAUAAACGAACAAAGUAAAGGAGACUACAAUCUCCCACUGUGUGUGUUUUAUUUUAUCAUUCUAAUCCAAUAUGCAAAGGUAAUGGAAGGUAUAGAUAUUAGGUAAAGCAUCAUUUGAGCACUUGAAAAGUUAGGUUGGGCCGACGUCUCCCAGUGGACCGGCCCAUUUAUUUAAGUGUUGGCUAGUUAUGAAAGGCCUCAUCUGCUACAUCAACCCACCCUAUCAUAAAUUAAAAAAUACAAUUUAUGAAGGGUAAUUAUAAUUAAACAAAAGUGCAAAUAUACCAAAAUAAUAAUCAAGUAUAUAGCCAUUAUAGUCGUGCUUGUCGUAUUUAUUGUAUCAAAUAAAAUAAAAACACUCUACGUUUUUCCAAAAAAGAAAAAAUACAUACACAGGGAAGAUGAGCCAAUGUUUAAGUUAGUUGCUAAACACUCCCCUAAAUUUCAACAUAAUAGAUGAAAUAGUCCGUAUUAUUGGUCUAUUGAUACCCUUGAACCGUUAAAUAGAUAUGUUACUGAUAUCAUAUAUCCUCUAAAGAAAACUAAGGUUUGGCUUGGUAUCUUUCAUUUAGUUGAAGAGGUGAUCGGACUUACAGUGAUGCCACUCAAACCCUUCAUGAUGCCAAGGCCAAAACUAAGUUUCUUUUACAUCCACCGACUAUUUCCAUUCAUCAGUUUUCUUUUUACCAGUUUACAUCAGACAUGUAUGAUUCAAAUAGUUAUAAAAAAGACAAUGAAAUAAUUAUAGUAUUUAACCUUCUCAUCUAAUUAAAUUCAUAUCAUUGGCUUUAUUAAUGUAGCUUAAUUAACCUAUACUAUCAAUGAAAAGUCUACAGGAGUUUCGUAUUUGGGUUACCAUAUUAUCGGGCACAAAAUCAAGGAAAUGAAUAAUUAACAUAAUUAGUGAAAGACAUAAGAUUUAGAACUUACAACUCUUACACAUGAAUUACAC